RNAcentral lists this ribosomal RNA (779 nucleotides) under bacterium. RNAcentral describes it as "partial 16S ribosomal RNA". The record is from RNAcentral.
GUAGAAGUKUGAUCMUGRYCCWGKWYGAACGCYGGMGGYGYGCGUAAYACAUGCAAGUCGAACGAACUCUGGUAUUGAUUGGUGCUUGCAUCAUGAUUUACAUUUGAGYGAGUGGCGAAYUGGUGAGUAACACGUGGGWAACCUGCCCAGAAGCGGKGGAUMACACYUGGAAACAGAUGYUAAUACCGCAUAACAACUUKGACCGCAUGGUCCGAGUUUGAAAGAUGGCUUCGGCUAUCACUUUUGGAUGGUCCCGCGGCGUAUUAGCUAGAUGGUGRGGUAACGGCUCACCAUGGCAAUGAUACGUAGCCGACCUGAGAGGGUAAUCGGCCACAUUGGGACUGAGACACGGCCCAAACUCCUACGGGAGGCAGCAGUAGGGAAUCUUCCACAAUGGACGAAAGUCUGAUGGAGCAACGCCGCGUGAGUGAAGAAGGGUUUCGGCUCGUAAAACUCUGUUGUUAAAGAAGAACAUAUCUGAGAGUAACUGUUCAGGUAUUGACGGUAUUUAACCAGAAAGCCACGGCUAACUACGUGCCAGCAGCCGCGGUAAUACGUAGGUGGCAAGCGUUGUCCGGAUUUAUUGGGCGUAAAGCGAGCGCAGGCGGUUUUUUAAGUCUGAUGUGAAAGCCUUCGGCUCAACCGAAGAAGUGCAUCGGAAACUGGGAAACUUGAGUGCAGAAGAGGACAGUGGAACUCCAUGUGUAGCGGUGAAAUGCGUAGAUAUAUGGAAGAACACCAGUGGCGAAGGCGGCUGUCKGUCUGUAACGACGCGAGGU